RNAcentral lists this small nuclear RNA (97 nucleotides) under Dicentrarchus labrax (European seabass). The record is from RNAcentral. Lineage: Eukaryota; Metazoa; Chordata; Actinopteri; Moronidae.
GUGUUACUCAGGUAGCACGUAUACUAAAAUUGGAACGAUACAGAGAAGAUUAGCAUGGCCCCUGCGCGAAACUCCCCCAGCGUUCUUCUCUCUUUUG